RNAcentral lists this ribosomal RNA (288 nucleotides) under uncultured bacterium. RNAcentral describes it as "partial 16S ribosomal RNA". It matches the Rfam family "Bacterial small subunit ribosomal RNA", at positions 30 to 300 of the family's 1533-position model. The record is from RNAcentral.
AGCGAACGCUGGCGGCGUGCUUAACACAUGCAAGUCGCGCGGGAAAAGAGACUUUCGGGUCUUGAGUAGAGCGGCGGACGGGUGCGUAAGACGCGGGUGACCUAUCCGAGAGGCGGGGAUAACCCAGCGAAAGCGGGGCUAAUACCGGAUGAGCCCCCAGGCGGAAACGCGCGGGGGCAAAGGAUGCUACUCGAUAGUGGCAUGUCCUCACGGAGGGGCCCACGCCUAUCAGCAGUUUGGUGUGGUAACGGCGCACCAAGGCGAAGACGGGUAGCUGGUCUGAGAGGA